RNAcentral lists this ribosomal RNA (261 nucleotides) under uncultured prokaryote. RNAcentral describes it as "partial 16S ribosomal RNA". It matches the Rfam family "Bacterial small subunit ribosomal RNA", at positions 524 to 784 of the family's 1533-position model. The record is from RNAcentral.
UACGUAGGUGACGAGCGUUGUCCGGAAUUAUUGGGCGUAAAGAGCGCGCAGGUGGUUGAUUAAGUCUGAUGUGAAAGCCCACGGCUUAACCGUGGAGGGUCAUUGGAAACUGGUCGACUUGAGUGCAGAAGAGGGAAGUGGAAUUCCAUGUGUAGCGGUGAAAUGCGUAGAGAUAUGGAGGAACACCAGUGGCGAAGGCGGCUUCCUGGUCUGUAACUGACACUGAGGCGCGAAAGCGUGGGGAGCAAACAGGAUUAGAUA